UACGUAGGGGGCAAGCGUUGUCCGGAUUUAUUGGGCGUAAAGAGCGUGUAGGCGGCUUUACAGGUCCGUUGUGAAAACUCGAGGCUCAACCUCGAGACGCCGGUGGAAACCGUAAAGCUAGAGUCCGGAAGAGGAGAGUGGAAUUCCUGGUGUAGCGGUGAAAUGCGCAGAUAUCAGGAGGAACACCCGUGGCGAAAGCGGCUCUCUGGGACGGUACUGACGCUGAGACGCGAAAGCGUGGGGAGUGAACAGG
RNAcentral lists this ribosomal RNA (253 nucleotides) under uncultured bacterium. RNAcentral describes it as "partial 16S ribosomal RNA". It matches the Rfam family "Bacterial small subunit ribosomal RNA", at positions 524 to 776 of the family's 1533-position model. The record is from RNAcentral.